Molecule: long non-coding RNA, 3380 nt
Filed under: Actinidia chinensis (golden kiwifruit)
Lineage: Eukaryota; Viridiplantae; Streptophyta; Magnoliopsida; Ericales; Actinidiaceae
Description: long non-coding RNA (ACHI_LNC000926)
Source: RNAcentral
AAGACUGUGACCAUGGCGACAUUAAUAUAUUUCAGACUGCAAAUAAUGCAAAUCAUAAUUAAAUAGAACUCCGAAAAUGAAAGUAUUUCCACUGGAUCUGACCAAUUAAUGUACACAUUUAUAUCAACAACCAUAAUGUUGGAACAUAUCACAGAUUAAAGAGGAAGGUUCACCGGUGCACCUUAAUUUAUAGAUGCAACCCAACAAGGCACAAGUACAUCCAAGGAAAAUAACCCAAAUCAAGAUACAAGGGGCAUUUCAAAUAACAAAAUCCACAUGAAGAAUAAAGUGUUAACUGCGCAGCAAAAAUUGUAUCCAAGCAAUAGUGAAUUGGCAUUACGCCUGCAUUCCUGCUUAUGGGAAAAAGCAAGUCCUCUCUCACCCUAGGGUUUGGUUCUGACGGGUAUCUAUCAAGUUAAGGUCGAGCAGAAGCAAGAUGGACCGCAAACCGUGGACCAUAGGUGAGUAGAUGUGGUUACUCGAGUGAAGGUGUGGGCUAUUCUUGUUUGCGUGUGGCAAAUUCAUGAACAAGUGGAAAGAUCAAAAUCAACAUCAGAUCUUCAGGAGGUAUAUGAAUCUAGCCGAGGAGGGAUCUUGGUUGUUGUCUCAUAUUUUGUGCCUCGUAUUUUGUGUUUGCCCAGGUCUUUGGUUAGAUUGUGGGGUCCAGACCCCUAGGGAAUCUAACAUGUGUAGGGAAUCCUAACUGUAAGGGACUAAGAUUCUUUUACUUAUUCCCUAAAUAUAAAACUUGUGGGAAUUCUAGGGAUAAGUGAGAUUGAGAGGGUUUGUAGACAUACGUUUGUCCCCUUUUCCCCUUUGGUGGUGUCGUGUGCGUGUGUGAUUGUAAGUGUGCUUCUGCACCUGUGUGGGUGUAGGUGGGUUUGAAAACCCCAACACAUCACUUCCUUGAUCAAGGAAAUGUUGAACUUGCUAAAGGAGCAACUGAUACCCAAAGAUAUAACAGGCCCCUUCAUUAGAACAAUCCCUCGCCAUCUAGUUUCAAAAUUUUGCUUUUACAAAAACAAGUUCGGAUUCGAAUGUGAAAAACAUAAAUCCUCUAGAUUCGCACAUAAAAAUAUUACAUGAUAGGGAAUGCUAGUUAUCAAUAACAACCACAGAGGCUCCACAAAAGGGCUAGCCAAAGAGUAAAUGUAGUUUUUUUAGAAGAAAAAUAAUCAUUCUUAUUAUUUUAAGGAAGCAUUACAAGAUAAAUAAUAGAGAAAAAGCCACCAAAUCAGGAAGGACACAAAAUCAGCAAAUCAAAUCAAAUCAGCAAACUAAUAUGCUAGAAUAGGAACCAGAAACAAAAUAAAUCUGAAAUAGUACAUUUUAGAUUUUGUUUGGCCAAAUAGAAUUUCCUAUUUAUUCUUUAGAAUCCACCCCCCCCUCAAGUGGAGCGUAGAUAUUUAUAGUGCCCAACUUGCUUAGCAAGAGCUCAAAACUAGGUCUGAAAAGUCCUUGGUGAAGUAUCAGCUAUUUGUGACGUCGGAGGAACAAAAGGGGCCAUACAAACAGCUCACAUCAAUCUUCUUUUUCUUUUUUCUUUUAUAAAGUGUCUCUCAAUCUUCUACACGUUUUCCGUGCGAUCAUAUUGUCUGGAUUUUGAGCAAUAUUUGUGGCAGCUUUGUUAUCACAAUACAACUUCAUUGGCAUGUUCACCCCACCGGCAUCUUCUGCAAGCUCUGCAAGAAUUCUCUCAGCCAUAGCAUCUCACAACUCCGUAGCCAUAGCCUAUAUUCUGCCUCGGCGCUGAUCCUUGCAAUACAUCUGUUUCUGCUCGCCGCGUGAACCCAAUUUUCCCCAGACAUAAGUACAGUAUCCUGACGUGGAUCCUCCGAUCAAUAACUGAGCCUAACCCAUUUGCAAAUCAGUUAUAUCCUCUUGUUUUGCUGUGUGGGUCUUCUAGAAGAGUAAACCUUUGCCUGGUGUACUUUUCAAGUUCUGAGAAUCCCGAUAAACUGCUUCAGUGUUUUCUCGUAGGUUGAUGCAUAACUGACUUACCAACUCACAUCAGAGCAUAUCAGGCCGUGAUGUGAUAAGUAUUAACUUUCCCACCAUCUUUUGAUACCGAGUUGAUUCACUGGAUCAACUUUCUGUCUUUGCAAGUUUUUCUGAUUAGGAUCGAUUGGAAUGUCCUGCUGGCCUCAACCGUCAUCCCAGUCCUCCUUAGGAGAUCAAGAACAUCUUCCGUUGGGAGACAACAAUCCUUCUUCGACCGAGCAACCGCCAUUCCAAGGAAUACCUCCAAAAUCCUAAGUCCUGAUCUCAAAUGUUGAUGAGAGGGAAUUCUUCAAUCGUUCAUCUCCAGUACGCCAUCUUUAGUGAGAAUAUUCGUCAACAUAUACAAUCAUAUUGCUAUCUUCCCAUCUUUGAAUAUCUUAUAAACAAUCUAUAUCACCUUGGCCCUUGAUUAUACCCCUGACUUUUAACAAAACUGAGUGAUUUCUCAAACCAGGCUCUUGGUACUGUUUUAACCCAAUAUAAGGACUUCUUCAGUUUACACCCUUUUGUGCCCAUCUUUUCAACCAAAUCCUGGAGGUGCAGCCAUGUACACUUCUUUCUCCAGUGCUCCAUUGAACAAUCUUUUUACCUCCAACUGGUGCAGAGGCCCGUCACUAUAAGCUGCAAUUGAACAAAGAACGCUUAAGAGCUUAAACUUUUGUGACGGGGCAAAUGCUCCAGUAAUCAAUGCCAUAGGUCUGAGUGAAUCCCUUGGCAAAAAAAAAAAAAAAAAACCAUCGAGCUUAUGCCGUUUCUAGGAACCAUCAGAUUUAUACUUGAUUGAAGACACAUUGCUCCCUACCAGUUUGUCUUUCCUCUUGGUAGAUCAACUAACUCCCAUGUGUCAUUUUUUUCAGAGCUUUCAUCUCCUCGAGGACAACCUCCUUCCACCAGGAACUUUUCAUAGCAUCCUGCUUCCUGUACAGUAAUUAGGAAAUCUCCCUACACACAAUUUGAUGUAAAAGCAUGAAGACUAUAGAAAUUUUAUAUGACCCAUAUUAGACAAUGAUGCUGGGUGCAAGACCCACACCCUUUUCGACAACAAUGGGAAUUCAUAAUCAUCAAACUCGGGAUUGGGACCAGACUCGGGUUCAGAACUAGAGGACUCAGAACUCGGAGAUGUAAUGGGCUGAACAUGAGAUAAAGUCUCGGUGAGGACAUUACCUGGAGGGUUUACGGAUUCUGGGCAGUGCAAAGAAUUGGAGGACCCAUUCUUUCAAGUUGUCCUCUAUCGCGAGUAUACAAUGUCAAAUGGUACCAGCACUGUGGUUUUUUUUCCAGUUUCUCCGUUGCUAGUUGUUUUAGGAUCAUGAAUAUCACGAGAUGGCACUGUAGGAAGACCUGUAUUUUUCAUAUCUAAAAAAUUCGCUCAUUUUCUC